This 440-nucleotide ribosomal RNA is filed under the name uncultured bacterium. RNAcentral describes it as "partial 16S ribosomal RNA". It matches the Rfam family "Bacterial small subunit ribosomal RNA", at positions 338 to 795 of the family's 1533-position model. The record is from RNAcentral.
CCUACGGGCUGCAGCAGUGGGGAAUAUUGCACAAUGGGGGAAACCCUGAUGCAGCGACGCCGCGUGAGUGAAGAAGUAUUUCGGUAUGUAAAGCUCUAUCAGCAGGGAAGAAAAUGACGGUACCUGAUUAAGAAGCCCCGGCUAACUACGUGCCAGCAGCCGCGGCAAUACGUAGGGGGCAAGCGUUAUCCGGAUUUAGUGGGUGUAAUGGGAGCGUAGACGGGAGCACAAGUGUGGAGGGAAAUGGCGGGGCUUAACCCCGGAACUGCUUUGGAAACUGUGCAGCUAGAGUGCAGGAGAGGUAAGUGGAAUUCGUAGUGUAGCGGUGAAAUGUGUAGAUAUUAGGUGGAACACCAGUAGCGAAGGCAGCUUACUGGACUGUAACUGACGUUGAGGCUCGAGAGCGUGGGGAGCAAACAGGAUUAGAUACCCGUGUAGUC